UCUCCGUUGGUGAACCAGCGGCGGGAUCAUUACCGAGUUUACAACUCCCAAACCCCUGUGAACAUACCAUUUGUUGCCUCGGCGGUGCCUGCUUCGGCAGCCCGCCAGAGGACCCAAACCCUUGAUUUUAUACAGUAUCUUCUGAGUAAAUGAUUAAAUAAAUCAAAACUUUCAACAACGGAUCUCUUGGUUCUG
RNAcentral lists this unclassified non-coding RNA (195 nucleotides) under plant metagenome. RNAcentral describes it as "partial contains small subunit ribosomal RNA, internal transcribed spacer 1, and 5.8S ribosomal RNA". The record is from RNAcentral.